UACGUAGGGGGGCAAGCGUUGUCCGGAUUUAUUGGGCGUAAAGAGCGUGUAGGCGGCCAGACAGGUCCGUUGUGAAAACUCGAGGCUCAACCUCGAGAUGCCGAUGGAAACCAUUUGGCUAGAGUCCGGAAGAGGAGAGUGGAAUUCCCGGUGUAGCGGUGAAAUGCGCAGAUAUCGGGAAGAACACCCGUGGCUAAGGCGGCUCUCUAGUACGGUACUGACGCUGAGACGCGAAAGCGUGGGGAGCGAACAGG
RNAcentral lists this ribosomal RNA (254 nucleotides) under uncultured bacterium. RNAcentral's name for it is "partial 16S ribosomal RNA". It matches the Rfam family "Bacterial small subunit ribosomal RNA", at positions 524 to 776 of the family's 1533-position model. The record is from RNAcentral.